ACUAAACAUGCAGCUUGGGAGUGACUAAGGACAAUAGUUACUCCCUUGGGUGCAGUGGAGCCCACCAAGCUCCCUGAGAGGGAGGAAAUGUAUGAGGUAUCUCUAGCGGAAAGCACUGCAGUAGCUGUACAAGAGAGGAAGCAAGCACGAUGCAGGUGAAUGGAAGCCCCAGAUCCUCUGGAACCUUCCCACUGCCAAAGGCAGAGGAGGAGUGUGCAUGAGCAGCCUCUGUGACCAGGAACUUGGGUCUAGCAUGAACUCAUUGCCUCUACCUUCAAAGCCCUCCAUGGCCAGUUGACCCCCUCAUCUCCUGACCGGAUUCUAUCUGAGACUUUGCUCCUCCAUCCCUAUCAUUUUCAGCUUCAUCAGGAAAUGGCAUAAGUUCCCUAAAGGUCUGCCUGGAGGCAGUAAUGGGCAAGAUGAUGGAUAACAAACAGAAACUGAAUCCAAAUCUUACCUUGUGCUGUUGUGAGGAUAAGAACUGUAAAGCACUUAUGAUGAGGAGUUCAAAGAAAUUGCUAAGAUGAAAAAAGAGCGAUUCUGUGAAGGAAGUCUUGGAGGAGGCUUUAAGAGACUGCUGCUCAGUACAAACGUCUUCUUGGAAGUAGAUCAACUAUCAUCUUAUUCCUGGGACUGCUCCCUGAUACUCUUUGGAAGAUAAGCAAUGCAUUUAUGAUGUGCCAGCAUGCCUUGUGCUCAAUUAUGCACUUAUGCAUUAACACAAUAGGCUUUCUAGGCUUAACAUGGGAGGUAAGUGGUUUUCAUUUUGUCUGUAUGUUCCCUUUUAAAUAACUGACAUAAAGGAGAGAAGAAAUGAGGACUUUGCUGAAUGUUUGUGGUUCUGAUUUUUUUGUUGAAAUGUGUGUUCUUGAAAGUUAGAGGUUUUUUUGUUGCCAAACUAGUAGCAAAGUAUUCUAAAAAUCUGCUAUUUUGUUUGAAGUUGGGUACCAUUUCCCCACACCAGUUUCCACCACACUCUUCCCCACCCCAUCCCUUUUUCUUCAAAGACAAUAGAUUUCAACAGUCACCCAAAGACACAAAACAAGUUCAUGUGGGUCUAUGCAGCCAAUCAUAUAUCACAUAGAAGGAUAUUUUGAUGCAUGAUGAGGUUACCAAGCUUUGGUAAAUGAAGGCACAUUGGCCACUGCAGCCAGUGGGAUGUCAUUAUCUAGCAACAGUUGAUGUGGUGAUGUCACUACAGCCACAUACAUUAAAUUGCUCAAUUUAAAAAAAGAAUAAAAAUCAAUUACUGUUUCAGAGAAUGCUCCCUCUUCUUCCUUCUAAGGAUAAUAAGAAAUUUUAAAAUGUGUGCCAUUUUGGAACAGAAAAAGGAAAACACUCUUAUGGCUCCCUUCAGGUUUGGGUCAAAGGUGGAAAUGAGCAGAAAUGACACAAAUGGGCCCCUUCCACAAGACCACCUUUAAUAGCACUGUCAAGAAUGAGGAAGCAGGGUAGGUCAGAAUGGCAUAUGAACCCAGACUCCCCCACCCCUGUCCUGAGACCCACAUGUUUGUAUUACAAACCAAUCUGGACAAGACAGUAGCUGUGGUUAAUGAGUGCCAAUGGGGCUGGUG
Hemicordylus capensis (graceful crag lizard) is the source of this 1574-nucleotide long non-coding RNA. RefSeq lists it as uncharacterized. The record is from RefSeq and is a predicted model, not a curated record. NCBI's taxonomy places the organism in Eukaryota, Metazoa, Chordata, Lepidosauria, Squamata, Cordylidae. The transcript has 6 exons.